Small nuclear RNA from Myotis lucifugus (little brown bat), 163 nucleotides. Its record names the gene U1. It matches the Rfam family "U1 spliceosomal RNA". From Rfam's summary of the family: U1 is a small nuclear RNA (snRNA) component of the spliceosome (involved in pre-mRNA splicing). NCBI's taxonomy places the organism in Eukaryota, Metazoa, Chordata, Mammalia, Chiroptera, Vespertilionidae. The record is from Ensembl.
UUACUUACCUGGCAGGGGAGAUGCCAUGAUCAUGAAGGUGGUUUUCCCAGGGUGAGGCUCAUCCAUUGCACCCCGAUGUGCUGACCCCUGCAAUUUCUCCAAAUGUGGGAAACUUGACUGCAUGAUUUGUGGUAGUGGGGGACUGCGUUCACACUCUCCCCUA